Molecule: non-coding RNA, 87 nt
Organism: Tilletiopsis washingtonensis
Lineage: Eukaryota; Fungi; Basidiomycota; Exobasidiomycetes; Entylomatales
Source: the annotation of a RefSeq genome assembly
GCCGGACCGGCGCGAUGGUGGCGCUUCUCAUUCCUACAGUUUUGCAGUCAGCUGAGAAGGUUGCGGGUUCGAAUCCCGCGUUCGGUU